RNAcentral lists this ribosomal RNA (1443 nucleotides) under uncultured organism. RNAcentral describes it as "16S ribosomal RNA". It matches the Rfam family "Bacterial small subunit ribosomal RNA". The record is from RNAcentral.
UCAGGAUGAACGCUAGCUACAGGCUUAACACAUGCAAGUCGAGGGGCAUCAGGAAGAAAGCUUGCUUUCUUUGCUGGCGACCGGCGCACGGGUGAGUAACACGUAUCCAACCUGCCCUUUACUCGGGGAUAGCCUUUCGAAAGAAAGAUUAAUACCCGAUAGCAUAAUGAUUCCGCAUGGUUUCAUUAUUAAAGGAUUCCGGUAAAGGAUGGGGAUGCGUUCCAUUAGGUUGUUGGUGAGGUAACGGCCCACCAAGCCUUCGAUGGAUAGGGGUUCUGAGAGGAAGGUCCCCCACAUUGGAACUGAGACACGGUCCAAACUCCUACGGGAGGCAGCAGUGAGGAAUAUUGGUCAAUGGGCGCUAGCCUGAACCAGCCAAGUAGCGUGAAGGAUGAAGGCUCUAUGGGUCGUAAACUUCUUUUAUAUAAGAAUAAAGUGCAGUAUGUAUACUGUUUUGUAUGUAUUAUAUGAAUAAGGAUCGGCUAACUCCGUGCCAGCAGCCGCGGUAAUACGGAGGAUCCGAGCGUUAUCCGGAUUUAUUGGGUUUAAAGGGAGCGUAGGUGGACUGGUAAGUCAGUUGUGAAAGUUUGCGGCUCAACCGUAAAAUUGCAGUUGAUACUGUCAGUCUUGAGUACAGUAGAGGUGGGCGGAAUUCGUGGUGUAGCGGUGAAAUGCUUAGAUAUCACGAAGAACUCCGAUUGCGAAGGGCAGCUCACUGGACUGCAACUGACACUGAUGCUCGAAAGUGUGGGUAUCAAACAGGAUUAGAUACCCUGGUAGUCCACACAGUAAACGAUGAAUACUCGCUGUUUGCGAUAUACAGUAAGCGGCCAAGCGAAAGCAUUAAGUAUUCCACCUGGGGAGUACGCCGGCAACGGUGAAACUCAAAGGAAUUGACGGGGGCCCGCACAAGCGGAGGAACAUGUGGUUUAAUUCGAUGAUACGCGAGGAACCUUACCCGGGCUUAAAUUGCAGUGGAAUGAUGUGGAAACAUGUCAGUGAGCAAUCACCGCUGUGAAGGUGCUGCAUGGUUGUCGUCAGCUCGUGCCGUGAGGUGUCGGCUUAAGUGCCAUAACGAGCGCAACCCUUAUCUUUAGUUACUAACAGGUUAUGCUGAGGACUCUAGAGAGACUGCCGUCGUAAGAUGUGAGGAAGGUGGGGAUGACGUCAAAUCAGCACGGCCCUUACGUCCGGGGCUACACACGUGUUACAAUGGGGGGUACAGAAGGCAGCUAGCGGGUGACCGUAUGCUAAUCCCAAAAUCCUCUCUCAGUUCGGAUCGAAGUCUGCAACCCGACUUCGUGAAGCUGGAUUCGCUAGUAAUCGCGCAUCAGCCACGGCGCGGUGAAUACGUUCCCGGGCCUUGUACACACCGCCCGUCAAGCCACGGGAGCCGGGGGUACCUGAAGUACGUAACCGCAAGGAUCGUCCUAGGGUAAAACU